UAAGAUAUUUUGAGUGAAUUAGAGAGAGAAAGUGGGAGCAAGAGGAGAAAAGGGUUAGAGAGAAGGAGGACUUGAAGAAUCAAGGGAUGAAGAGAGCUAGGAGCAAAAUUGAAGCCUAAGCUAUAGAGAUUAACCUAACUAAGGUAAGGGGGUUAGAAUUCAUCAUAAUCAUUUAUUGCAAUUUUCAAUUAUUUGUAUGAAAAGUGCUUAAUUGGGUGAAUUGAUUAAUUGUUCAUAAGUGAUGAAAUUCGUGCUCUAAUUAUGAUGACAUGUUUAGAUGUAUGAAGUUAUGGAUAAUUGGAUUGUUGUUAGUUGAAUUACAUGUUCAAAGUAUGAAAAAUGGGUAUGUGUUGAAAAUAUGCUCAAUUUGUGACAUGCUAUGUUGUUGAUGAAUUGUGAUAAGUUUCAUGAUCAAUUGUCGUUGUUGUUGAUAUGUCAUGUUGUUGAUGAUAAUUCAUGGCUUGGGUUGGCAUGAUUCAUGAUUUGUGUGGAGAAAUGAGAUGUUGUUGGUGUUUUGAUGAAAAAUGGUGAAUUGGUCCAAUUGUCAAGUGUUUUCAUGUUUGAUUGAGUCUUUGUGAGUCUUUUAGUCAUUUUGACCUGUAAACAUCAACUGGAAACACAUUUGGGCAAUGAGGGAUCAAAAUUGGGGAUUUUGGAUAAAAAGGGGGUUCAAACCCGUAACAUUUUUUGCUGAACUGUGAACAUUCGCUUAGAGGUUCGCUUAAGUGACCAGUAAGCGAACAUUCAUACUCUUUUCUGAGUUCAGUUCGCUUAAGCGAACUGCGAGCAAACCGGUAAGCGUGCAUUUUUGGUAGCUACUGGAACUCGUUCCCUUAAGCGAACAUGUGGUCGCUUAAGCGAACUGGUGAGCGACCAGUCAGCGACCAGAAAGCGUGCAAGUGUGUUGGCUACUGGAGCUCGUUCGAUUAAGCGAACAAGCCCAGUUUUCAACCACUUUGAUCUUUGUUUCGGGUUUUUGGGGGUCAAUCCGAACUUUGUAAAAUGAUCCUUUACACAUGUUUAACUACUGUUUAAGCCUCUAAACUCACUGGAACAUGAUUAGCUUGCAUAAACAUGAAAUUGUUCAUUUGAGUCUUAACUUGGAAGUUUUGGGAAUUCUAGACUUUUGUCGAAAACAAACUUUUGUAAACAAUGGAACUUACAAGUUGAACCUACAACUCAUAUAUACUUAGGUAAGACUUGUAAGAGUGGUCAAACAUCUUAAUCAUGUAAAAAGUGAUAUUUCGGGUGGGAAUGUGAAAGGUUGUGAAAUUGGGUUUUUCAUACGAACUUAAGUUAUUCUUGGAUUAAAGUCUAAUAGUCCGGAGACGACUCAAGUUCAUGAAUACAUGAUUGAUUAAGAUUGUUUGAGAACUUUCAACUUGUCUAUGUUGUUUUGUCUUGGGAUUUAUCAAUGUUGGUCGGUUGCCACUUGAUACGGUUUUUGGUCGGAAUGUUCUUGAGCCAAUUGUCUUAUGAUUUGUUGUGACCAUUCUUAUAUGACUAAGUAAAGUUGUAUGAAUGAGUGAUUAUAUUUGGAUAUGAUGUUUAUCAUGAAAUGUGUAUAUUAUCUUACUUAGAAUGUAAGGAAUGCUUGAAUGGGAAAAUUAUAUGUAAUAGUUGAUGUUGAAUGACAUUGUUGAUUAUUGAUAAUCAUGUUAAUGUGUGAUGGUGAAUACUAUGAAUUAUUUGUGUAUGGGCAUGUUUUCUUGAUAAUGCAAAUGAUGUGGAGAUGAACAAUAUAAUUGGGAAGUUGUCCUAUAUAUUGUGGUGAAAAUUGUGGAUUGUUGUCGCAUUAUCGAGUCUUGUUACAUGUCCAUGCAUCAUAGUCAUGUUGAGAUUGUAGUUGUAAAAGGGUUGAACUCUUUUACUUCGGAGAUUAUGUAAGACGGAUGUGAAAUCUUACAUACGAUUUUGUUGCAUCGAAGGUGAUGACCUUGAGGUGAUCCGGUACCACAUGCAUUUAUGUGUCAAUAAGUGCAUAUCAUGACAUGAGUCUUAUUUGAAUUGUGAUUGGUGAUUGUGUAUGAAUAGCUGUGAAUUGAUGAUUGUUCAUGACACAUGUGAUUGGUGAUUUAUUGAUGUGAGAUAUUAGGAUUAUGAUAAUAUGUAGGCUUAUUUGAUUAAAUGGUCCCCUAAUUAAUUUCACGUUUUCAUUUUGGUCUCAUAAUUAAUAAAACAUACGUUUUAGUCCCUCACUUUUUCCUCCGUUUGCCAAAUAAAUCCUGGGCUGUCAAAACAAUAAAAGUUCUGGUAAUGACAAUCCUUCACUUUUUUAAUUUAAGCCGUUUGAUCUUUUUAAUUAAAAGAGGAUCGUUAGAUUAUGCAUAUCUACUGUAUCUUCCAUGAGUCAACAACACUUGAUUUUUUUCCCAUUUCUUCAUCUUCUUCCCCCAAUUUAUUCUUCAUCUUCAUAAUAUUCAUAAAAAAAAUCCAGAAAAUAAAAAUAAAAAACCAGAAUCAAUUCUAUUACAAUCACCCUAACAUUUAAAUAACUUAUGAGUUAUGAACCUUUACCUAGUCUAUCAUCCUGAAUUACCAAUUCACGUUUCAUCUUCCCAAGCCUCCAUUAUCUAAAACUUUACCAUUCAAUCCUUCCCCUCAAAUCAUCUUCCCAAGCCUCCAUGAUUCAUCCUUUCGAAUCAUGGAAACUAUUUGAAUUUUAGGAUUUUGUAUCAAAUAUCCAGAUAAAAAGAGAUAAAUUAUGGAAACCCCACAUUAAUUUUAACAAUCGAACUAUUGGGGAUUAUAUGAUUUGAAAAUCAACUACUGAAAAUUUCAAUAAAAAACAGUUUGGAUCUUUCGCCGGAACUGUUGGUGGUUGUGGGUUUCGCCGGAAUUGAUGGUGGAAGGUGAGGGAAAGAAGAAAGUGAUGAAGCAAGAUGAGGAAUAUCUGAACGCGCUAAAAGGAAAAUGGGUUUUAUUUCAACAACGUUGUUACUGUAUCUAGAACUCAACAACGACCGUCGAAGAUGAAUCUGCAACGCCGAUUCAGUAAUUCUAACAUUUGAGUUCCCUUCGGCAGUUGAAACUUUCUCAUCCUCAUUCAUCAUAUUUGAAGAUGACAGGUCAUGCAUUUUGAUUUUUUUUACCCAAGUCUCAAACUACAACCAACGACGAUGGCGGAAGAGAGAAUUGAUGGUGGUGGAAAAAAUUGAUUUUUUUUUAUUGUAUGGUUUUAGUUAAUUAGAAGAAAUUAGGGCUUGAUGGGGUUUGGGUUAAUUUGAUUUUGUGUUUUAUGAGUUUUUUUUGUUGGUAUUUUUUAUGAAGAUUGAUGAUGAAGAUGAUAUAUUGAUGAAGGAAGAAGAUGAAUUAAUUAGGGCUUCAUGAUCCAACGCUCCUCUUUUUAAAAAAUAAAUCGAAUGGUUUAAAUUAAAGAAAUUAAUAGGUUCUGCAGUGGACUAUAUAUAAUGUUGGUACACUAUAGGCAUUUAGGGUUAAACUUAACAGCCAUGAUUUAUUUGGCAAACGGAGAAAAAAGUGAGGGAUCAAAAUGUACGUUUUAUUAAUUGUGGGACCAAAAUGAAAAUUUGAAAUUAAUUAAGGGACCAUCGGAUCAAAUAAGCUUAAUAUGUAUAUAUGAAUAUCAUUAUUGAUCAAGUAUAUGAUUUUUGAAUUAAAUUAUUCAUGUUAACUGUUAUUUGGAUUAUGAUGAUGUAAUACUUAUCCCUAGUGGUUUUGACCGCCUACCUGUCUGUAUGGAUGGGUAGACGUUGUACAGAAGUAGUUGCUCUGGUGAGUCUUUUGUACUGGUGGAUAUCGGGAGCUUUCUCCGAUAUCGGUGUUGUAGAGUCUAGGUGACUCUAAUCUAGGCGUCGUCAUAGUCUAGAUUAUCUUUAUUUGGAUUAUUGUUCAUGACUGGAGAUUUACCCGUAUGUUGGGAUUUUGAGAUUCAUCUAUGUUGAUAUAGUAUUGAUUCAUGACAUAUGUAUUUUGAGUACUCUGGUUUAUAUUCCGCUGCG
Molecule: long non-coding RNA, 3962 nt
Filed under: Medicago truncatula (barrel medic)
Lineage: Eukaryota; Viridiplantae; Streptophyta; Magnoliopsida; Fabales; Fabaceae
Description: long non-coding RNA (MTRU_LNC005691)
Source: RNAcentral